AUACGGAGGGUGCAAGCGUUACUCGGAAUCACUGGGCGUAAAGCGCGCGCAGGCGGGCUGAUAAGUUGGAUGUGAAAGCCUACGGCUCAACCGUAGAACUGCAUCCAAAACUGUCAGUCUAGAGUCUGGGAGGGGAAGAUGGAAUUAGUUGUGUAGGGGUAAAAUCCGUAGAGAUAACUAGGAAUACCAAAAGCGAAGGCGAUCUUCUGGAACAGUACUGACGCUGAGGCGCGAAAGCGUGGGGAGCAAACAGGAGUAGAUACCCGAGUAGUCC
This 274-nucleotide ribosomal RNA is filed under the name uncultured bacterium. RNAcentral describes it as "partial 16S ribosomal RNA". It matches the Rfam family "Bacterial small subunit ribosomal RNA", at positions 523 to 796 of the family's 1533-position model. The record is from RNAcentral.